ACCCUGCUAUGUGCGUGUUAAACCGGCGUUUUGAGCCAACACCAUUACAAAGGGAGUCUGGACUCUGGCUGUGAUGAAUAAGCCUUCUUAGAAAGGACAUUCAAAGCAGUCAGGAGGGCACCCACCUGGGAGACCGGGACUCAAAAACGGCUGGCUCACGGCAUAGUGGGGUUU
RNAcentral lists this non-coding RNA (174 nucleotides) under marine sediment metagenome. RNAcentral describes it as "6S / SsrS RNA". It matches the Rfam family "6S / SsrS RNA". Rfam says of the family: E. coli 6S RNA was the first non coding RNA to be sequenced, but its function was unknown until recently. It consists of 184 nucleotides that fold into an extended hairpin structure with a large single-stranded internal bulge. The record is from RNAcentral. RNAcentral also lists the same sequence under 1 other name.